RNAcentral lists this ribosomal RNA (407 nucleotides) under Verrucomicrobiota bacterium. Its description in RNAcentral is "Verrucomicrobia bacterium partial 16S ribosomal RNA". It matches the Rfam family "Bacterial small subunit ribosomal RNA", at positions 355 to 776 of the family's 1533-position model. The record is from RNAcentral. Lineage: Bacteria; Pseudomonadati; Verrucomicrobiota.
UGGGGAAUAUUGGACAAUGGACCAAGAGUCUGAUCCAGCAAUUCUGUGUGCACGAUGAAGUUUUUCGGAAUGUAAAGUGCUUUCAGUUGGGAAGAAAAAAAUGACGGUACCAACAGAAGAAUUGCCGGCUAAAUACGUGCCAGCAGCCGCGGUAAUACGUAUGUCACAACCGUUAUCCGGAUUUAUUGGGCGUAAAGCGCGUCUAGGUGGUUAUGUAAGUCUGAUGUGAAAAUGCAGGGCUCAACUCUGUAUUGCGUUGGAAACUGUAUAACUAGAGUACUGGAGAGGUAAGCGGAACUACAAGUGUAGAGGUGAAAUUCGUAGAUAUUUGUAGGAAUGCCGAUGGGGAAGCCAGCUUACUGGACAGAUACUGACGCUGAAGCGCGAAAGCGUGGGUAGCAAACAGG